UUUAGUUUUGAAAGGCAGCACUUUCACUGUCAUUUAUUCUUUUUCGUUUUUUUCAACACCAUUGAUGGUAUAAGGAAUUGUGUGUUUAAAAAUGUACAUUGUAAAAGGGAGGUGGGGGUGCCGUUGAAUUGUUGGUGGAAGGUCUGAGAAAUACAGGAAGUAGUAUGUGUGUUUUAUUUGAAGCCACACUUAUUGUGUGGCGGGACGGAAUACUUCCUCUUGUUUGUGAGAGUCCUGAGUUCAAGGUCAGGUUGCAGGGAGCAGUAGCUCCAGCAUGGAUGCUCAAACUUCUCUUUCCCCAGCCACUUCAUCCAGUUCUUCCGGGAGUUCCCAGGCCAGCCGAGAUAUGUAGUCUCUCCAGCGUCUCCUGGAUAAUCCUUGGGGUCUCGUUCCGGUGAGACAUGGCCUCACCAAGGAGGCAUCCGGGAGGCAUCGAAAUCAUAUGCUCUAGCCACCUCAUCGGGCUCCUUCAAAUACAGAGGAGCAGUGGCUCGACACUGAGCCCCUUCCAGAUAACAGAACUUUUUAUCCCAUCUCUAAACAUGAAUUAAUCUGGUUAGUUCCAACACUCUUUUCUAAAAUAAUGCUUUAGUCCAAACAAAUAUAUGCUACCAUAAAUACAAUUGAAUUGACCUAGAGUUACAUAGAGAUGUUUUCAUAAUUUUGAUUAUUUUGUGACAUGAAAGAUGCAAUUUAUGUAUUAAAUACAGCUCUUAGUACAACAUACUGCAGGUCAACAACCAGGUUAACAACAAUGCAUGACUACAGAAUCUUAAAUAGAACAAUACAAUCACAUUUGAUUUUUAAUUUUGUUCUUGAAUUGGAUGUGCAGGUCAAGUCCAAUUAAUGUUGUAGUUGGUAAGCAUAAAACACACGCACAUAGCAAUAAAUGUACACUCAAAGAUAGCCGGUUAAGUUAUUUAAUUCCUGUUUUUUCCAGCAAUAUGUAUAUAAAGUGUGCUUUGCAAACUCUGCCGUUGGUCAAUCUUCAAUAAAACAGCGCAACGCCAAGCAGAAACAUUCAGUUCAAUCUUCACAAUGAAGUCUAAUAUUCAACAGGUCACAGUGUUCAAACAACCCAUUGUCACACAUGCAAGAUAUGAAGAAAGAUUAUUAAAUACUCCAUUAAAAGUCUGGAAGACUGAGAUUCAAGCACCAGGACUAAAAUGUGCUUAUAGUCUUUAGUAAAUUGUAUACAUCAAUUUUCUGAAUUGGGGAAGGAUGCUGGGUACAUCUUGAACUGGUCACCACUCAAUCCAGGGCACAUAUAGACAACCAUUCACACUCACAAUUUAAAGUCUCCAAUUAACCUACCAUGUUUUUGGAAUGUCAGAGGAAACAGAGUACCCAGAGAAAUCAUACACAUGCCAAGGCAGGAUUUGAACCCAUCUACUGUGCUACAUUGUGUAAGCGUAUACAAUUGUAUAUAUUCUUAUUCCGAGCAACUUGUCCUCAUCAGGGUCACGUGAGCGCUAGAGCCUAUCUCAGCUAUUAACGCGUAGGAGAUGGGAUGCACCCUGAACUGGUUGCCAGUCAAUUGUAGGGCGCACAGAGACAAACAACAGUGUCACUCACAAUCACACCUAAGGGCAAUUUAGAGUCCCCAAUUAAUGCAAGUUUUUGGGUUGUGGGACGAAACCGCAGUGACAUAGACAAGUCCCACAGGGACGUGGAGAGCGUGGAAACUCCAGACAGGCAGGGCCGGGAUUUGAACCCCAGUCCUCAGAACUAUGAGGCCAACGCUCUAACCAGUUGCUCCCCCAUGGCGCCACAAUUUUAUACAUUUAUAAGCAAUUUAUACAUUUUGUUCAUGAAAUAAAAACUGAUUCAGUGUGAUAAACAAUUGGCUAAGUACCCCAUCCACCUCACAGUUCUGAGGGUGAGGGUUUAAAUUCAUUCUCUGGGGGGUUCGCAUGUUCUCGCAACGUUUCUGUAAGUUUUCUGGGGGUAUGCUGGCUUCUGCACAUCUCCCAAAAACAUGUUUCUUAGGUUAACUGAGGACUCUAAAUUGUCCAUAUAUGAGCCUCAAUGGUAGUGUGUCUACAUCUGCCCUGCGACCAUACCCUGUCUCUGCCACAAAGUCUGCUUGGACAGGCUCCAGCUCUCAGGGUGGAGGGUCAGAUGGUUUAAUAUCAACAUGUAUUUUAACUUCAUAACAUCUGUUUUUAAAUAAUUUUGUAUCGAUGUAUAAUUCUGGUAACCAGGAGGACUUACAGCUGUCUUCUAUACACUAUUGCAAUAAUAGGAACAAUUUAAAUAUUUAUACAUGACUGAUUCAUAUUAUGUAAACUAUAUAUAUUGGUAUUACAGAUAUACUUUCACAAGUUUGUCUUGCUGAGCUUCUUGAAAGUGAUGUACCAUAUAUGGAAGGUAAAUGACGCAAUCCAUGUUACAUUCCUCAGUGUUAACUAACCUACAAGCCGCGGGAACUUUACAACAUUGUGGCCCUCAAACAAAACACUGCCUGCAUCAAGAGACGCAAAGGAGAUUCCAAAGCAGGAAGAUUUUUUUUUUUUUUUGAGAAAAGGCAUACA
Molecule: long non-coding RNA, 2534 nt
Organism: Syngnathoides biaculeatus (alligator pipefish)
Lineage: Eukaryota; Metazoa; Chordata; Actinopteri; Syngnathiformes; Syngnathidae
Exons: 2
Source: RefSeq, a predicted model, not a curated record